AAGGGGAGCAAUCCCUGAGUAAAGUGGCGCACGGGUGAGUAACACGUGAAUGAUCUACCUCCGAGUGGGGAAUAACUGAGAGAAAUCUUAGCUAAUACCGCAUAACACUUACGAGUCAAAGCAGCAAUGCGCUUGGAGAGGAGUUCGCGGCCGAUUAGUUAGUUGGCGGGGUAAUGGCCCACCAAGACGAUGAUCGGUAUCCGGCCUGAGAGGGCGCACGGACACACUGGAACUGAAACACGGUCCAGACUCCUACGGGAGGCAGCAGUGGGGAAUUUUGCGCAAUGGGGGAAACCCUGACGCAGCAACGCCGCGUGGAGGAUGAAAUAUCUUGGUAUGUAAACUCCUUUCGAUGGGGAAGAUUAUGACGGUACCCAUAGAAGAAGCCCCGGCUAACUUCGUGCCAGCAGCCGCGGUAAUACGAGGGGGGCAAGCGUUGUUCGGAUUUAUUGGGCGUAAAGGGUGCGUAGGCGGUUUGGCAAGUCUUAUGUGAAAUCUUCGGGCCCAACCCGAAGCCUGCAUAAGAAACUGCCGGGCUUGAGUAUGGGAGAGGUGAGUGGAAUUUCCGGUGUAGCGGUGAAAUGCGUAGAUAUCGGAAGGAACACCUGUGGCGAAAGCGGCUCACUGGACCAUAACUGACGCUGAUGCACGAA
RNAcentral lists this ribosomal RNA (653 nucleotides) under uncultured bacterium. RNAcentral describes it as "bacterial SSU rRNA". It matches the Rfam family "Bacterial small subunit ribosomal RNA", at positions 72 to 757 of the family's 1533-position model. The record is from RNAcentral.